CCUACGGGUGGCUGCAGUGGGGAAUAUUGCACAAUGGGCGCAAGCCUGAUGCAGCCAUGCCGCGUGUAUGAAGAAGGCCUUCGGGUUGUAAAGUACUUUCAGUCGUGAGGAAGGUGUUAAGGUUAAUAACCUUAGCAAUUGACGUUAGCGACAGAAGAAGCACCGGCUAACUCCGUGCCAGCAGCCGCGGUAAUACGGAGGGUGCGAGCGUUAAUCGGAAUUACUGGGCGUAAAGGGCACGCAGGCGGUUAUUUGAGUGGGAUGUGACGUCCCGGGUCUUAACGGGGGAAGGGAAUUCAAGUGGGGUUAGAUGGAGGUUUGUGGGGGGGGGUAGAUUUCGAUGUGUAUGGGUAAGAUGGGUGGAGAUGGGGAGGAAUGCGGGGGGGGAGGGCGCUCCCGUGAAAAAAGACUGACGCUCGUGUGCGAAAGGGUGGGGCGCAAACAGUUUAAGAUACCCGGGU
This 461-nucleotide ribosomal RNA is filed under the name uncultured Arsenophonus sp. RNAcentral's name for it is "partial 16S ribosomal RNA". It matches the Rfam family "Bacterial small subunit ribosomal RNA", at positions 338 to 791 of the family's 1533-position model. The record is from RNAcentral. Lineage: Bacteria; Pseudomonadati; Pseudomonadota; Gammaproteobacteria; Enterobacterales; Morganellaceae.